RNAcentral lists this unclassified non-coding RNA (254 nucleotides) under uncultured Acidimicrobiia bacterium. RNAcentral's name for it is "contains 16S-23S intergenic spacer region". It matches the Rfam family "Bacterial small subunit ribosomal RNA", at positions 524 to 776 of the family's 1533-position model. Lineage: Bacteria; Bacillati; Actinomycetota; Acidimicrobiia. The record is from RNAcentral.
UACGUAGGGUGCAAGCGUUAUCCGGCAUCAUUGGGCGUAAAGAGAUCGUAGGCGGGUCAACAAGUUGGCUGUGAAAGUCCGAGGCUUCACCUCGGAAUUGCAGUCGAUACUUUUGUGACUGGAGUCCGGUAGAGGAGAAUGGAAUUCCCGGUGUAGCGGUGAAAUGCGCAGAUAUCGGGAGGAACACCAGUAGCGAAGGCGGUUCUCUGGGCCGGCACUGACGCUGAGGAGCGAAAGCGUGGGGAGCAAACAGG